UAUAUUUAAGUGUUAAAGAAGCACGGGAAAUUUUGAUUUUCCAAGGUAUGGUUUAAAUCCAUAUAAUAUAA
RNAcentral lists this transfer RNA (71 nucleotides) under Cazira horvathi. Its description in RNAcentral is "tRNA-Gln". Lineage: Eukaryota; Metazoa; Arthropoda; Insecta; Hemiptera; Pentatomidae. The record is from RNAcentral.